This 69-nucleotide non-coding RNA is filed under the name Proteiniclasticum ruminis. Lineage: Bacteria; Bacillati; Bacillota; Clostridia; Eubacteriales; Clostridiaceae. The record is from RNAcentral.
CUGAUGAAAGUGAAGUCUGGUGAGAUUCCAGCACUGUCGCGCAACGGUUAUAGUCCGAUCCUUUAUCAG